GAUGAACGCUGGCGGCGUGCCUAAUACAUGCAAGUCGAGCGAACAGACGAGGAGCUUGCUCCUCUGACGUUAGCGGCGGACGGGUGAGUAACACGUGGAUAACCUACCUAUAAGACUGGGAUAACUUCGGGAAACCGGAGCUAAUACCGGAUAAUAUAUUGAACCGCAUGGUUCAAUAGUGAAAGACGGUUUUGCUGUCACUUAUAGAUGGAUCCGCGCCGCAUUAGCUAGUUGGUAAGGUAACGGCUUACCAAGGCAACGAUGCGUAGCCGACCUGAGAGGGGGGUCGGCCCACACGGAACUUAGACACGGGCCAGACCCCUAAGGGAGGCAGCAGUAGGGAAUCUUUCCGAAUGGGGGAAAAGCUUACGGGGCAACCGCGCGGGAGGGAUGAAGGUCUUCGGUUCGGAAAACUCUUUUUUUAGGGAAAAAAAAAAGGGUAAAUUAAUAUGCACCGCUUGAAGGUAACUAAUCAGAAAGGCACGGCUAACUUAGUG
Molecule: ribosomal RNA, 497 nt
Filed under: uncultured bacterium
Lineage: Bacteria
Description: partial 16S ribosomal RNA
Rfam family: Bacterial small subunit ribosomal RNA
Source: RNAcentral